This 244-nucleotide small RNA is filed under the name Arabidopsis thaliana (thale cress). RNAcentral describes it as "ATSL082300". The record is from RNAcentral. Lineage: Eukaryota; Viridiplantae; Streptophyta; Magnoliopsida; Brassicales; Brassicaceae.
UUUCAGUUGUUAAACUCAUUUGAUAUUUUAAAUUUCGACGAAGACUUCACAGUGCCGUCUUAAAAAAUAAAUCGAAUGGUGAGUGAGACACCCGGUAUUAAUUGUGUGAAUUCACAAUAUUUUAUUAGUUUAUUUUCGGCAUUGGUAAUCUCCUACUAUAUUUGUUACAGUAUUAAACAUUUAGUUGGAUUUAAAAAGUUUAAUCACAUUAUUAUUGUUUGAUAUUAUAUAUUAUAUAUAUAUA